CUUAAAUUGAAGAGUUUGAUCAUGGCUCAGAUUGAACGCUGGCGGCAGGCCUAACACAUGCAAGUCGAGCGGAAACGAGUUAUCUGAACCUUCGGGGAACGAUAACGGCGUCGAGCGGCGGACGGGUGAGUAAUGCCUAGGAAAUUGCCCUGAUGUGGGGGAUAACCAUUGGAA
RNAcentral lists this ribosomal RNA (174 nucleotides) under Vibrio parahaemolyticus. RNAcentral's name for it is "partial 16S ribosomal RNA". It matches the Rfam family "Bacterial small subunit ribosomal RNA", at positions 1 to 155 of the family's 1533-position model. Lineage: Bacteria; Pseudomonadati; Pseudomonadota; Gammaproteobacteria; Vibrionales; Vibrionaceae. The record is from RNAcentral.